This 742-nucleotide ribosomal RNA is filed under the name uncultured prokaryote. RNAcentral describes it as "bacterial SSU rRNA". The stretch from base 1 to 637 matches the Rfam family "Bacterial small subunit ribosomal RNA", at positions 242 to 873 of the family's 1533-position model. The record is from RNAcentral.
CACCAAGGGAGUGAAGUGCAGGUCUACAUCAGCAACGAUAUCUACCCGGCUGGACAUGAUGAUCAGCCACAUUGGAAUUGCUACACGAUCCAUACUCCUACGGGAGGCUGCGGGGCGGAAUUUUACGCAAUGGGCGAAAGCCUGACGCAGCAACGCCGCGUGAGUGAUGAAGGUUUUCGGAUCGUAAAGCUCUGUCAGAGGGGAAGAAACUCCCGGGUGUAAAUAACACUUGGGCCUGACGGUACCCUCAAAGGAAGCACCGGCUAACUCCGUGCCAGCAGCCGCGGUAAUACGGAGGGUGCAAGCGUUGUUCGGAAUUAUUGGGCGUAAAGCGCGUGUAGGCGGUUGUUUAAGUCUGAUGUGAAAGCCCUGGGCUCAACCCGGGAAGUGCAUUGGAAACUGGGCAACUUGAGUACGGGAGAGGGUAGUGGAAUUCCGAGUGUAGGGGUGAAAUCCGUAGAUAUUCGGAGGAACACCGGUGGCGAAGGCGGCUACCUGGACCGAUACUGACGCUGAGACGCGAAAGCGUGGGGAGCAAACAGGAUUAGAUACCCUGGUAGUCCACGCCGUAAACGAUGGGCACUAGGUGUUGCGGGUAUUGACCCUGCAGUGCCAAGCUAACGCAUUAGUGCCCGCUGGGGAGUCGGCGCAGGCUAAAUCAAGGAUUGACGGGGCCGCCAGCGUGGACUGUGUUAAUCGAGCACCGCAAACUACUGGCUACUCCAUCCACUAUGAACUAGUG